Coturnix japonica (Japanese quail) is the source of this 1678-nucleotide long non-coding RNA. The record is from Ensembl. Lineage: Eukaryota; Metazoa; Chordata; Aves; Galliformes; Phasianidae.
CCUGAAAAGGUGAUGGAACAGCUUGUGCUGGAAGGCAUCUCCAGACACUUGGAAGAAAAGGAGGUUAUCAGGAGGAGUCAACAUGGGCUCACAAAGGGGAGGUCAUGCUCGACCAACCUUGUAGCCUUCUAUGAUGUUGUCACUGGCUGGGUGGGUGUGGGAACGGUGGUGGAUGUAGUCUACUUUGAUUUCAGCAAGGCAUUUGAUACUGUCUCCCAUGAUGUCCUUAUAACAAAGCUGAGGAAGGGUGGGAUAGAUCAGUGGACAGUGAGGUGGGUUGAGAACUGUCUGACUGGAAGAGAGCAGAGGGUCGUCAUUGGCACUGUAGAGGCCAGUUGGAGACCUGUAACUAGCGGUGUUCUCUGGGGGUUGGUGCCGGGUCUGGUCUUGUUCAACAUCUUCAUCAGUGACCUUGAUGAGGGGAUAGUGUCCACCCUCAGCAAGUUUGCUGAUGAUACAAAGUUGGGAGGAUUGGCUGACAUGCCUGAAGGCUGUGCUGCCAUUCAGCGAGACCUGGACAGGCUGGAGAGCUGGGCAGUAAGAAACCAGAUGAGAUUUAACAGAAGCAAGUGUAGAGUCCUGCAUACAGGGAGGAAUAAUUGCAUGCACCAAUACAGGUUGGAGGAAGACCUGCUUGAGAGAAACUCUGCAGAGAGGGACCUGGGUGUCCUGGUGGAUGACAGGUUGACCAUGAGCCAGCAGUGUGCCCUCGUGGCCAAAAAGGCAAAUGGCAUUCUGGGGUGCAUUAAGAAGAGCGUGGCCAGCAGGUCAAUGGAGGUUAUCAUCCCCUUCUACUCUGCCCUGGUAAGGCCUCAUCUGGAGUACUGUGUCCACUUCUGGGCUCCCCAGUAUAAAAAAGACAGGGAUCUAUUGGAAAGAGUCCAGCAGAGGGCCACAAAGAUGGUGAAGGGCCCGGAGCAUCUCCCCUAUGAAGAAAGGCUAAGUGAACUGGGUCUGUUUAGCCUGGAGAAAAGAAGACUGAGAGGGAACCUGAUCCAAGUCAAUAAAUAUCUGAGGUGUGGAGGGCAAAGUGGGGAGGCCAAACACUUUUCAGCAGUGUGUGGGGACAGGACAAGGGGAAAUGGCCAGAAAAUGGAGCAUAGGAAGAUCCACACGAAUGUGUGGAAGAACUUCUUUACGGUGAGAGUGAUGGAGCAAUGCGACAGGCUGCCCAGGGAGGUGGUGGAGUCUCCUUGUCUGAAGAUGUUCAAGACCCGCCCGGACGCCUACCUGUGCAACCUAGUCUAGGGAGCCUGCUUUGGCGGGUGGGCUGGACUCGAUCAUCUUGAGAGCUCCCUUCCAGCCCCUACAAUUCUGUGAAUCUGGGUCAUGCAGAAGACAAAUACGGACACUGCUAUGGGAGAUGUAAGCAAAGGAUCGAAUCUCUUGGUCUACGUUAUCAUAUAUUCUUUUAUUUUCUUUCCUACAUAUAACUACAGCAAAUUAUCUCAGUGUUCACUGCUGUUGGACUGAAGGGGUCAAAAGGAUGGGAGAGGAGCACCUACCUUCUGUUUACGUCUGUUUACAAGGGUGGAUAAUGACAGAAAAAGGGGAAAUGUUUUUAAACUAAGACAGGAAAGGAUUAGGUUACAUAGUAGGAGAAGGAUUUUUGAACAGAGGGUGAUAACUCACUGGCACAGGUUGCCCAAAGAGGUUGUGGAUACCCCAUCCCUGGAGG